RNAcentral lists this unclassified non-coding RNA (214 nucleotides) under Hevea brasiliensis (rubber tree). Lineage: Eukaryota; Viridiplantae; Streptophyta; Magnoliopsida; Malpighiales; Euphorbiaceae. The record is from RNAcentral.
CCUCAAAUGCUUUAAAGACCCAAUCCUUUCCAGCGGUACCUCUAAUUGGGAUUCUGACAAGUCCAACAUCCGCAAAUAUUUUAAUCUUGACAAACAUAAAUCCAAGGCUGAUUGACUGAUUUCCUCACUCAUAAAUAGAGCAGUUCGCUUCGCACAUGCUCUAAAUCUUGUAAGAGAGUGGAAACACCACGGGGAAGUGAAGUGAAGUCGGGAA